AGGAUCGGGACGGAGCCCGAAUCAACUCGGUAAUGAUCCUUCCGUAGGGUGAACC
This 55-nucleotide ribosomal RNA is filed under the name Macrophomina phaseolina. RNAcentral describes it as "partial 18S ribosomal RNA". The record is from RNAcentral. Lineage: Eukaryota; Fungi; Ascomycota; Dothideomycetes; Botryosphaeriales; Botryosphaeriaceae.